GUGAGCCAGAAGAUGGAUCCAAAUGAACUAGUUAAGCUUGUUGAAAUUUUAAAUCCUAAUAAUAAGGCUGGAAGGAUCACGGUAAUUGUGAGAAUGGGAGCUGAAAAUAUGAGAGUCAAGCUUCCUCAUUUGAUCAGGGCAGUGCGGGGAGCAGGACAAAUUUUGACAUGGGUCUGUGAUCCAAUGCAUGGAAAUACCAUACAAGCACCCAGCGGACACAAAACAAGGCCAUUUGAUGCAAUCCUGGUAUAGUCUCUUCGAAACAACUUCCUGUUAUCAUUUUGAUUUAAAAUUUUUCUAGUUUCCGAUAAACUAUUGAUAUUUUCCCUCAAUCCUAAUUUUAACAUUGAACCGCUAGGAAAUUACGUCACCUAUAUGGAAAGUGAUUACUCAUACUAUCUUACAAACUUACUAAGAAGUAGGUGUAAUGGUAUUGUUAGGGUUGUAUCUACAAGAUAUCGACGUUUACAACACAAUAACUACCUAACACUCAAGUUGAGCCUGUUCGUGUAAGCAAGACACAAUGCUUAUAUGCUCGUUACAAAUGUUUAUCAUUUGUUAGAAAAUCAUAUAGAUUAUAGAAUAAAAUGUUAUAUCUUUCCAUAAAUAUGAUUUAUCAUAUGCGGACUUGUUGGGCUAGAAACACUUGAAUUAUUAUUUCAUCUAUAGAUUUCAUAUGACCAGAAUUAACUGUGCAACUGUGUAUGUGUGCUAUAAUAUAAUUUAACAUGAUGUUUAUUGUGUUGUGGCAGAGUGAGGUGCGAGCUUUCUUUGAUGUGCAUGAGCAAGAAGGCAGCUAUGCGGGAGGUAUCCAUCUGGAGAUGACAGGUCAGAAUGUGACCGAGUGCAUUGGUGGCUCACGAACUGUGACUUAUGAUGACUUGAGUGCCCGUUAUCA
This 898-nucleotide long non-coding RNA is filed under the name Daucus carota (carrot). RNAcentral describes it as "long non-coding RNA (DCAR_LNC002393)". Lineage: Eukaryota; Viridiplantae; Streptophyta; Magnoliopsida; Apiales; Apiaceae. The record is from RNAcentral.